RNAcentral lists this ribosomal RNA (345 nucleotides) under uncultured Sphingobium sp. Its description in RNAcentral is "bacterial SSU rRNA". It matches the Rfam family "Bacterial small subunit ribosomal RNA", at positions 125 to 504 of the family's 1533-position model. Lineage: Bacteria; Pseudomonadati; Pseudomonadota; Alphaproteobacteria; Sphingomonadales; Sphingobiaceae. The record is from RNAcentral.
UCUGCCCUUGGGUCCGGAAUAACUCUCCGAAAGGAGUGCUAAUACCGGAUGAUGACGUAAGUCCAAAGAUUUAUCGCCCAGGGAUGAGCCCGCGUAAGAUUAGGUAGUUGGUGAGGUAAAGGCUCACCAAGCCGACGAUCUUUAGCUGGUCUGAGAGGAUGAUCAGCCACACUGGGACUGAGACACGGCCCAGACUCCUACGGGAGGCAGCAGUGGGGAAUAUUGGACAAUGGGCGAAAGCCUGAUCCAUCAAUGCCGCGUGAGUGAUGAAGGCCUUAGGGUUGUAAAGCUCUUUUACCCGGGAUGAUAAUGACAGUACCGGGAGAAUAAGCCCCGGCUAACUCC